RNAcentral lists this ribosomal RNA (497 nucleotides) under uncultured bacterium. RNAcentral describes it as "partial 16S ribosomal RNA". It matches the Rfam family "Bacterial small subunit ribosomal RNA", at positions 28 to 507 of the family's 1533-position model. The record is from RNAcentral.
GAUGAACGCUGGCGGCGUGCCUAAUACAUGCAAGUCGAGCGAACAGACGAGGAGCUUGCUCCUCUGACGUUAGCGGCGGACGGGUGAGUAACACGUGUAUAACCUACCUAUAAGACUGGGAUAACUUCGGGAAACCGGAGCUAAUACCGGAUAAUAUAUUGAACCGCAGGGUUCAAUAGUGAAAGACGGUGUUGCUGUCACUUAUAGAUGGAUCCGCGCCGCAUUAGAUAGUUGGUAAGGUAACGGCUUACCAAGGGAACGAUGCGUAGACGACCGGAGAGGGUGAUCGGCCACACUGGAACUGGGACACGGUCCAGACUCCUACGGGAGGCAGCAGUAGGGAAUCUUCCGCAAUGGGCGAAAGCUUGACGGAGCAACGCCGCGUGAGUGAUGAAGGUCUUCGGAUCGUAAAACUCUGUUAUUAGGGAAGAACAAAUGUGUAAGUAACUAUGCACGUCUUGACGGUACCUAAUCAGAAAGCCACGGCUAACUACGUG